UAUCAAAAGAGUCGUUGUAGUAUAGUGGUAAGUAUUCCCGCCUGUCACGCGGGUGACCCGGGUUCGAUCCCCGGCAACGGCGCUUAUCCUCCUUUUUAGAGAAAAUUUUAUUUAAAAAAUGUGCACUACGUAACUUUGUUCCUUCUGCAAAACACUUUCGUUGUUGCGUAAUAUGGAAGAAGACGGUAGCCAGAGAACCCACGCCAAACUCCAUUCUAAUUCUAAUCUUCAAAACUUCAAUGUACGACCACAGAUUUCGGACCGCACAAGAAAAUGAAGGGAAAGGUUCUAUUUUCUGAUAACAAAGAAAAUGCUUUCCCUACUAAAUUCUCCUCCGCCGGCCCCGGCGAAGUCAAGCCGGAAAACGUUUCCGUCGCGUCUUUUCGACGACGUGCGUUAAGCAGGACUAGCAUUCAUAUACUUGCAUUGGACGGUGUCGUUAAUGUAAAUUCCCUUUUCACCUUAGCUCUCUUCCUCGGACUUAAUUGGUACCCAACGUUCGAUCCCCAAACCACACUCAUUGACGUUGCCGAUUUGGCUUGCUCUGCCGGCUCCGAUGUCACUGAGGGCCUCAUCACCUACCACGUGUACUCCUUCAGCUCAUUCCUUUUCUCGAGCCUCAUCGCUCUGACCCUGAAACAGGCGAUUACGAUCAGCGAAGGCAGUGGACCUGGUGAUCUUGAGGGUUUCCACCUAGGGCACGUGAACCGGGUGGCUUUGAGAUUGGGGAUGAUGGUUUCGGCUAUUGGGUCGGUUUUCGGAUGUGGGUUUUUGAUGCUGGCUUUGGUGGAUUUGGUUCAGAUCAAAUUGGGGAUUUUGGCUUGUGGGAGUGUCUAUACGUUUGCUGCGGUUGUUCCUUUGGUUAUUUUGGUCCCUGUGGCGCUAAUCGUCUAUGUUGGUCUUGUGCUUCAUGCCUUCACUCGCUAAAGGAUGUCAUAAUGAUUGUUGCGGGUCGGCUACACCAAGAACCAAAGGGAUUCAAGAUUUUCUUAGUAAAGUGAGCAAUUAAGGGAUUCUUUGGGCAAGAUUUCUUAGUCCAAUCAAGGGCAUGUAAAUCAUCGAGCAAUAGUUUCCACUCAGGUUGACCGGCACACCUGAAUUCGGAAUCAAGGUAAGGGCAAUGCUAAAGCUAAACAGCAGUGAGGAAGAGCGGAUGAAGAUUGUACAUAUUAGGCAGUUAGACCUGGAGUGUUCGAUCUUUGGGACAACAAGCUUUAUUUGGAUAGCCAAUAGGCUACAUCUUUUGUAACUAAAUAUUUUCUAAAGUAGUUGUAACUUUUAAAAAAUAGGAUCUCAAAUUAAAAUGCCAUCCUAUAUUAUGUAAAGUAUUUAUAUAUUCAAGCUUAAUGUUUAAUUAAGAAGUUUUAAUUUAA
RNA transcript from Cannabis sativa, 1373 nucleotides. RefSeq lists it as uncharacterized. The transcript has 4 exons. The record is from RefSeq and is a predicted model, not a curated record. Lineage: Eukaryota; Viridiplantae; Streptophyta; Magnoliopsida; Rosales; Cannabaceae.